This 3031-nucleotide ribosomal RNA is filed under the name Salmonella enterica subsp. enterica serovar Moero. RNAcentral's name for it is "23S ribosomal RNA". It matches the Rfam family "Bacterial large subunit ribosomal RNA". The record is from RNAcentral. Lineage: Bacteria; Pseudomonadati; Pseudomonadota; Gammaproteobacteria; Enterobacterales; Enterobacteriaceae.
GGGUUGUGAGGUUAAGCGACUAAGCGUACACGGUGGAUGCCCUGGCAGUCAGAGGCGAUGAAGGACGUGCUAAUCUGCGAUAAGCGUCGGUAAGGUGAUAUGAACCGUUAUAACCGGCGAUUUCCGAAUGGGGAAACCCAGUGUGAUUCGUCACACUAUCAUUACGUGAAUACAUAGCGUAAUGAAGCGAACCGGGGGAACUGAAACAUCUAAGUACCCCGAGGAAAAGAAAUCAACCGAGAUUCCCCCAGUAGCGGCGAGCGAACGGGGAGGAGCCCAGAGCCUGAAUCAGCAUGUGUGUUAGUGGAAGCGUCUGGAAAGGCGCGCGAUACAGGGUGACAGCCCCGUACACAAAAGCGCAUGUGUUGUGAGCUCAAUGAGUAGGGCGGGACACGUGGUAUCCUGUCUGAAUAUGGGGGGACCAUCCUCCAAGGCUAAAUACUCCUGACUGACCGAUAGUGAACCAGUACCGUGAGGGAAAGGCGAAAAGAACCCCGGCGAGGGGAGUGAAAAAGAACCUGAAACCGUGUACGUACAAGCAGUGGGAGCCCCACCACCAAAGCAUUCUCUGGUGUUGAAGGCCCUGCAAAGCAGCAUCGCGGUGGCGGAGCGUCGUUUGCGACGCCCAACACACAAAACAAGCGGUGAGUGCUUUGGGGUGGGGUGACUGCGUACCUUUUGUAUAAUGGGUCAGCGACUUAUAUUCUGUAGCAAGGUUAACCGAAUAGGGGAGCCGGAGGGAAACCGAGUCUUAAUUGGGCGUUAAGUUGCAGGGUAUAGACCCGAAACCCGGUGAUCUAGCCAUGGGCAGGUUGAAGGUUGGGUAACACUAACUGGAGGACCGAACCGACUAAUGUUGAAAAAUUAGCGGAUGACCUGUGGCUGGGGGUGAAAGGCCAAUCAAACCGGGAGAUAGGCUGGAUUCUCCCCGAAAGCUAUUUAGGUAGCGCCUCGUGAAUUCAUCUCCGGGGGUAGAGCACUGUUUCGGCUAGGGGGCCAUCCCGGCUUACCAACCCGAUGCAAACUGCGAAUACCGGAGAAUGUUAUCACGGGAGACACACGGCGGGUGCUAACGUCCGUCGUGAAGAGGGAAACAACCCAGACCGCCAGCUAAGGUCCCAAAGUCAUGGUUAAGUGGGAAACGAUGUGGGAAGGCCCAGACAGCCAGGAUGUUGGCUUAGAAGCAGCCAUCAUUUAAAGAAAGCGUAAUAGCUCACUGGUCGAGUCGGCCUGCGCGGAAGAUGUAACGGGGCUAAACCAUGCACCGAAGCUGCGGCAGCGACGCUGAUGCGUUGUUGGGUAGGGGAGCGUUCUGUAAGCCUGCGAAGGUGGCCUGUGAGGGUUGCUGGAGGUAUCAGAAGUGCGAAUGCUGACAUAAGUAACGAUAAAGCGGGUGAAAAGCCCGCUCGCCGGAAGACCAAGGGUUCCUGUCCAACGUUAAUCGGGGCAGGGUGAGUCGACCCCUAAGGCGAGGCCGAAAGGCGUAGUCGAUGGGAAACGGGUUAAUAUUCCCGUACUUGGUGUUACUGCGAAGGGGGGACGGAGAAGGCUAUGUUGGCCGGGCGACGGUUGUCCCGGUUUAAGCGUGUAGGUGUGUGUUCCAGGUAAAUCCGGUUCACUUUAACACUGAGGCGUGACGACGAGGCACUACGGUGCUGAAGCAACAAAUGCCCUGCUUCCAGGAAAAGCCUCUAAGCAUCAGGUAACAUCAAAUCGUACCCCAAACCGACACAGGUGGUCAGGUAGAGAAUACCAAGGCGCUUGAGAGAACUCGGGUGAAGGAACUAGGCAAAAUGGUGCCGUAACUUCGGGAGAAGGCACGCUGACACGUAGGUGAAGUGAUUUACUCAUGGAGCUGAAGUCAGUCGAAGAUACCAGCUGGCUGCAACUGUUUAUUAAAAACACAGCACUGUGCAAACACGAAAGUGGACGUAUACGGUGUGACGCCUGCCCGGUGCCGGAAGGUUAAUUGAUGGGGUCAGCGCAAGCGAAGCUCCUGAUCGAAGCCCCGGUAAACGGCGGCCGUAACUAUAACGGUCCUAAGGUAGCGAAAUUCCUUGUCGGGUAAGUUCCGACCUGCACGAAUGGCGUAAUGAUGGCCAGGCUGUCUCCACCCGAGACUCAGUGAAAUUGAACUCGCUGUGAAGAUGCAGUGUACCCGCGGCAAGACGGAAAGACCCCGUGAACCUUUACUAUAGCUUGACACUGAACAUUGAGCCUUGAUGUGUAGGAUAGGUGGGAGGCUUUGAAGCGUGGACGCCAGUCUGCGUGGAGCCGACCUUGAAAUACCACCCUUUAAUGUUUGAUGUUCUAACGUGGACCCGUUACCCGGGUUGCGGACAGUGUCUGGUGGGUAGUUUGACUGGGGCGGUCUCCUCCUAAAGAGUAACGGAGGAGCACGAAGGUUGGCUAAUCCUGGUCGGACAUCAGGAGGUUAGUGCAAUGGCAUAAGCCAGCUUGACUGCGAGCGUGACGGCGCGAGCAGGUGCGAAAGCAGGUCAUAGUGAUCCGGUGGUUCUGAAUGGAAGGGCCAUCGCUCAACGGAUAAAAGGUACUCCGGGGAUAACAGGCUGAUACCGCCCAAGAGUUCAUAUCGACGGCGGUGUUUGGCACCUCGAUGUCGGCUCAUCACAUCCUGGGGCUGAAGUAGGUCCCAAGGGUAUGGCUGUUCGCCAUUUAAAGUGGUACGCGAGCUGGGUUUAGAACGUCGUGAGACAGUUCGGUCCCUAUCUGCCGUGGGCGCUGGAGAACUGAGGGGGGCUGCUCCUAGUACGAGAGGACCGGAGUGGACGCAUCACUGGUGUUCGGGUUGUCAUGCCAAUGGCACUGCCCGGUAGCUAAAUGCGGAAGAGAUAAGUGCUGAAAGCAUCUAAGCACGAAACUUGCCCCGAGAUGAGUUCUCCCUGAGACUUAGAGUCUCCUGAAGGAACGUUGAAGACGACGACGUUGAUAGGCCGGGUGUGUAAGCGCAGCGAUGCGUUGAGCUAACCGGUACUAAUGAACCGUGAGGCUUAACCUUACAACGCCGAAG